AGAAGGAAAUUAUAAUUGCUGUAGUGUAUGCAGCAAGGCAGGAGACCAGGAACCCAGGAAGCAAACUCCCUGGAUGUUGCAUGUUCCUGCCGCCAGCAAGGAAAUGAAAACGCCCCCAUGUGUGAGCCAAAAAGCCAACGACCUGGGCAGGGCAGGCACAAACUACAAAGCGGGGGAAAAAAAAAUAAACACACCGGAGUCGGAGGAGUCCUGCCGCAGAGCAACUAUAAAAAGGACACCCUGCAACCGUGUGUACCGGAGUCUCUAUCGGUGUCAGCCAGCAGCUUACAAAGUCAGACGCAUUUGUGUGUGUAUCUGUGUGUGCCGAACGAAGGACGCUCCCAGCUUUUAAGUAUAAUUUUCCAGAUACACAGGCCGAGCACUGGAGUCCAGGUGGCAACUGCUAGACAAAAACGAUGUGCACGCCCCCACAAAAAACACACACACACACAGAGACAAGAACGUACAGGAGCAGAAGGACCAGAAGGACCAGCCAGCUAAACGAGUAGGUGGAGAAAAUUUAAUAUGAUUAUGUUGAAGUAAAUUGCUUGAAACAAAUGUUGCAUGGGCAUCCGCCCAGCGAUCUCCACCUGUGCAUGUGCAUAUGUACAUACAUACAUAUACACACCCAUCUAUUUGGCAGCCAGACUUUGAUUCACUCAGUUGGCAGACCUUUAAAAAGCAAUUAAGGACAAUACGAUUUGCUCCUCAAAGGCUACAAGCUGUCAACGAGUUGAGAAUGAUGGUGGGUAAGUUCUGCCCUUAUUGUGUGGCCAAUAAAAUACUAUAUGGGCUGCAGUGAUUUGCAAACAAUAUAAAUAAAUUAUGUUAGAGCUAACAACAAUUGAUACUGUUUGGUAUGUAAUGUAUUUUUUACAUUUUCAUUAACAGACGCAAGAAGUUUAACGAGCCAAAAUCAUUAGACUAAUUAUUGCCGCCUCAUUAGCGAGCUAUCAAAUAAUGAUAUGCCAUUAUUGCUGUCAUCCCGUUGGUUGGUCAUCAGAAUGUGUAUCUCUAAUACUAAUUAAAAUUAUCAAAUGAUGUGCACACGAAUCCACAGAAAAAGCGCAGGCAGAGCGAACGUAGUUGGCAUGUCUGCAAUGUGGCAUGCCGCCGUUGGCAAAUCAAUUGACAUGCCGCGAUGCCAAUCGUCAACAGCCCUCAGUCCAUGAUAAUUAAAUUGCACAUUGCAUUUUAUUGCAAUUCAAUUAAAAUAUAAAAUAUUUUUCAAUUGGUUCACUGAAGCGGUUAGCCGUCGUUCGACUCCGAGCCACGUAAUUAAAUUAAUCAACGAUGCUUUCACUCAUUGCCACCAUUGCUGCCAACGUCUAUCUGCUACCAACAUGUGAAACAAUUCGGUGGUAAUACGUAUAUACAUAUUUCCCAUGAAAAAUAAAUAGCACAAAAAAAGGGUUC
This is a non-coding RNA of Drosophila melanogaster (fruit fly), 1416 nucleotides long. The record is from Ensembl. Lineage: Eukaryota; Metazoa; Arthropoda; Insecta; Diptera; Drosophilidae.